RNAcentral lists this ribosomal RNA (755 nucleotides) under Angaeus sp. Tho538. RNAcentral's name for it is "partial 28S ribosomal RNA". The stretch from base 365 to 755 matches the Rfam family "Eukaryotic large subunit ribosomal RNA", at positions 1 to 925 of the family's 3401-position model. Lineage: Eukaryota; Metazoa; Arthropoda; Arachnida; Araneae; Thomisidae. The record is from RNAcentral.
CGGGUGGGCACCCGAAAUCCUGUCGCUAGAGGAUUCAGUCUGGAUUUGCGGACUCGCUGGUCGGAAACGAAGAUAGGGCUUUCCGAGAACGGGGCCGUCCGAUCUCGAACGUCAGAUCCGCCAGACGCAUUUGUCUCUCGUCCGAAGGACGCCGCAGCCGGUCGGGCAGCGCAAGCGCGACGGUCUGAGGGGCGGACGAUGACAGGUGUCCGGUGGCGCGCCUCGUGCGUGUCGCCGGUUGUUAGCCGGUUCCAUCAGUGGCUCGUCGCUCGACCGAGGUGUCACGAGGCCCUUCGUGGCCCUCGCGCUUCCUCCCCACGGAUGUGGGAUAGUACGUCGCAAGCGAAGGACGCCGUCCCGUCGCACUCAUUCGGAGUGGACGGGCGAGCGGCCGGCGCCAUUGGCGACGGAGGCUGCAGGCUCCGUCGGAGGCUGGAGGCUCGCGACCAGUAGGUCGGUCACCUACCCGACCCGUCUUGAAACACGGACCAAGGAGUUUAACAUGUGCGCGAGUCAAUGGGUCUUGAACAUGCCCUGGCUCUUCGCGUCGACCGAGUUGGGAUCCCGCACUUCGCGCGCGAGCGCACCAACGACCCGUCCUUUUCGGCUCGCCGCUUGCGCGGAGUGUUAUCGUACACAUUGGGACCCGAAAGAUGGUGAACUAUGCCUGACAGGACGAGGUCAGAGGAAACUAUGGUGGAGGUCCGCAGCGUUUCUAACGUGCAAAUCGAUCGUCAGAUCCGGGUCAAGGGGCG